GAUGAACGCUGGCGGCGUGCCUAACACAUGCAAGUCGAGCGAACCCUUCGGGGUGAGCGGCGGACGGGUGAGUAACGCGUGGGUAACCUGCCCUGUACACACGGAUAACAUACCGAAAGGUAUGCUAAUACGAGAUAAUAUAUUUUAAUCGCAUGGUUAAGAUAUCAAAGCUCCGGCGGUACAGGAUGGACCCGCGUCUGAUUAGCUAGUUGGUGAGGUAAUGGCUCACCAAGGCGAUGAUCAGUAGCCGACCUGAGAGGGUGAUCGGCCACACUGGAGCUGAGACACGGUCCAGACUCCUACGGGAGGCAGCAGUGGGGAAUAUUGCACAAUGGGCGAAAGCUUGAUGCAGCAACGCCGCGUGAGCGAUGAAGGCCUUCGGGUCGUAAAGCUCUGUCCUCAAGGAAGAUAAUGACGGUACUUGAGGAGGAAGCCCCGGCUAACUACGUGCCAGCCGCCGCCGUAA
This 466-nucleotide ribosomal RNA is filed under the name uncultured bacterium. RNAcentral's name for it is "partial 16S ribosomal RNA". It matches the Rfam family "Bacterial small subunit ribosomal RNA", at positions 28 to 523 of the family's 1533-position model. The record is from RNAcentral.